Molecule: ribosomal RNA, 253 nt
Filed under: uncultured bacterium
Lineage: Bacteria
Description: partial 16S ribosomal RNA
Rfam family: Bacterial small subunit ribosomal RNA
Source: RNAcentral
UACGUAGGGCGCAAGCGUUAUCCGGAAUUAUUGGGCGUAAAGAGCUCGUAGGCGGUUUGUCGCGUCUGCCGUGAAAGUCCGGGGCUCAACUCCGGAUCUGCGGUGGGUACGGGCAGACUAGAGUGAUGUAGGGGAGAACGGAAUUCCUGGUGUAGCGGUGAAAUGCGCAGAUAUCAGGAGGAACACCGGUGGCGAAGGCGGCUCUCUGGGACGGUACUGACGCUGAGACGCGAAAGCGUGGGGAGCGAACAGG